Molecule: non-coding RNA, 567 nt
Organism: Camelina sativa (false flax)
Lineage: Eukaryota; Viridiplantae; Streptophyta; Magnoliopsida; Brassicales; Brassicaceae
Source: RefSeq, a predicted model, not a curated record
UCAUAAGUUCUCUAUGUUCCUUUUAUUUUAAGUAGAAAUAUGGUUUGGGGAUGGUAGUCUUGUAAAUUUAAGCGGUCACCAGAGAAAUUUUUGACAAAGAGACAAAAAAAAACUAUGUCUUCUUAUUGGUCUGUCUUCUUCUUGAGAACGUAGCAAGAGACAUAGUGAGUCUAUUAGUUUCGGUAAGGAAGAGGAAGAGACAGAAGACGCAGAUGUUCUUAAGAGAUGGCCUGAAGAAGAUAACUUUAAGAGUGCCAAUGUCGUAAAAGGGGUCUUAUGGCACACAGGGUGAAGUCAGGCAAAACAAGAAAAGAAAAUAAAAGGCUGGUAGCAUAUAAAUGGAGAGCUUGAAGCUCAUUAUGAUUAUGUUCUCACAUGUAGACUACAUUUCUUCUCUAUAUAUACGAAGUUGUAAUAUUCUUCAUGAUACAACCCAUAUUGUUAUGCAGUUUAAGCUAAGUGAAGGCUGUUAGUUAAUUAAUUUAUUACCUUUGUUGGAUUGAUUUACUGUACCAUGUUCGUCGUUCUUUUUUCGAUUUAAAGCUACCGCAAGAAAAUCAAACCUCA